GCUCUUAUAGCUCAGUAGGUAGAGCGCAUCCUUGGUAAGGAUGAGGUCACCGGUCCGACUCCGGUUAAGAGCU
This 73-nucleotide transfer RNA is filed under the name Clostridia bacterium. RNAcentral describes it as "tRNA-Thr". It matches the Rfam family "tRNA". From Rfam's summary of the family: Transfer RNA (tRNA) molecules are approximately 80 nucleotides in length. Their secondary structure includes four short double-helical elements and three loops (D, anti-codon, and T loops). Lineage: Bacteria; Bacillati; Bacillota; Clostridia. RNAcentral also lists the same sequence under 1 other name. The record is from RNAcentral.